GGCCCGUUAGCUCAGUUGGUUAGAGCGCUACCCUGUCACGGUAGAGGUCGACGGUUCGAGUCCGUUACGGGUCGCCA
This 77-nucleotide transfer RNA is filed under the name Christensenellaceae bacterium. Its description in RNAcentral is "tRNA-Asp". It matches the Rfam family "tRNA". From Rfam's summary of the family: Transfer RNA (tRNA) molecules are approximately 80 nucleotides in length. Lineage: Bacteria; Bacillati; Bacillota; Clostridia; Christensenellales; Christensenellaceae. The record is from RNAcentral.